GUAAACGCAUUCCUUGUGAAGCCGACUCGCUGCCAUUUUUCUUCGAUCAGGCGGUACGGAUCUCCGUUUCUAGAGUGAUGGUGGGCUGGCAGAGACAUUUGCAGUCCUUACUUCGCCAGGUUGGGAAAAGGGUGGAGCACAAUUACACUGCUCUUGCAAACUUUUCCUCUUCUUCUCGUGUGGAAUCCUCUUUUUUAACUGGCGAAUUACCAUAUUUACAGAGAUUAUGGAAAUCACCUUCUGCCAAUGUACUGAGGCCUUUCCAUCAGUAUUUGCAGCAGUCGGGAAUCUCAAGUUCAAUGAAAUUACUUGCAGAUUCUUUUGAGGAAACACCCAUUCGAUCUCCACUGACUCCUGCUUUAACUCCACUAAGCAGUGGAAAAACUAAAGAACAGAAAGCAGUCUCUAAACCAUCAA
Molecule: unclassified non-coding RNA, 417 nt
Filed under: Hevea brasiliensis (rubber tree)
Lineage: Eukaryota; Viridiplantae; Streptophyta; Magnoliopsida; Malpighiales; Euphorbiaceae
Source: RNAcentral